Molecule: long non-coding RNA, 870 nt
Filed under: Gossypium barbadense (sea-island cotton)
Lineage: Eukaryota; Viridiplantae; Streptophyta; Magnoliopsida; Malvales; Malvaceae
Description: long non-coding RNA (GBAR_LNC008978)
Source: RNAcentral
AUUUUGCCCGGGCUUAAACCAAAACCAUACCAAAGCCAAAAUAAAAAAAAUAAUAAUAACAAAAUAAAACCCAAUAAUCAGCAGUUCAAUGCCCAUGUUACAAGCCCAAAUUACCUAGCCCACUUACAAGCAAAUUAUUAACCCAAAUUCCUAAUAGCCUUAACCCAAUUGAAACCCUACCCAAUUAUCCUGAGACAGGCCCAAACGACCCAAGACAUUUUUUAGCAGAAACCCUAAGGGUUUCUUUCCCUUGCGUCGCAACUGGUUUCCAGCAGCUUCCAGCACCGCUGCUGCCUUCGUGCCAGCUUCCACACGCGCCGUUACUUCACACUCCACGUCGACACGCCCACGAACGGCUUCUCCACGCUAUACACACCUGCAAUAGACUAACACCUACAAUAGUAAGCAGUAAUUGAUAACCAAUAAUAGCAAAUUACAGCAAGAAAAUUUAUAUUUUUUGAUUUUAUUUAUAUUUUUAUUUUUCGGCUAUAAAACCGAAUGAAGUCAAGUGUAAAGGGAUCUUUUUUUUUCACAAAAAUACAAUACGGAUACUAAAUGAAAUACAAGAAUAAUCAGAAAAUCAAUAUUACUCGAAGGUGAUUUAUUAUAUUUCAAUUUUUUUCGUCUUUUUUUGCUUUCAUUUUUGCAUCUGCUAUAAACAAAAAAGAAGAGGAUAAAUGAUAGGGGUCUCCUGAAUCAUUAGAAUAUCGUCGAAGUUUCUCCCCCAUUAAAACUGAAUCCAACCAAGGUUGAGACGUUCUUUUGAUUCUUUGUGGUUGAAGGUGUUAGAUUCUUAAAUGUUUUUCUAAAUGAGGUUAGAAAUGGAAGAUUUACUCACCGUCGGCCACUAUUAGAGGCGAGGGUACGGCG